CCUACGGGUGGCAGCAGUGGGGAAUAUUGGACAAUGGGCGAAAGCCUGAUCCAGCCAUGCCGCGUGUGUGAAGAAGGCCUUCGGGUUGUAAAGCACUUUCAGUGGGGAAGAAAGCCUUGGGGCUAAUACCCUCGAGGAAGGACAUCACCCACAGAAGAAGCACCGGCUAACUCCGUGCCAGCAGCCGCGGUAAUACGGAGGGUGCGAGCGUUAAUCGGAAUUACUGGGCGUAAAGCGCGCGUAGGCGGUCUGAUAAGCCGGUUGUGAAAGCCCCGGGCUCAACCUGGGAACGGCAUCCGGAACUGUCAGGCUAGAGUGCAGGAGAGGAAGGUAGACUUCCCGGUGUAGCGGUGAAAUGCGUAGAGAUCGGGAGGAAUACCAGUGGCGAAGGCGGCCUUCUGGACUGACACUGACGCUGAGGUGCGAAAGCGUGGGUAGCAAACAGGAUUAGAUACCCCAGUAGUC
Molecule: ribosomal RNA, 465 nt
Filed under: Vreelandella stevensii
Lineage: Bacteria; Pseudomonadati; Pseudomonadota; Gammaproteobacteria; Oceanospirillales; Halomonadaceae
Description: partial 16S ribosomal RNA
Rfam family: Bacterial small subunit ribosomal RNA
Source: RNAcentral